UUAUGGGCGUAAAAGCGUCCGCAGCGGUUUUUAAGCGAGAUGUGAAGCCCCCGGGCUCAACUGGGAACUGCAUUUGAACUUGUCAAAACUAGAAGUGUGAUAGAGGGUGGUAGAAAUUUCAGGUGUAGCGGUGAAAAUGGCGUAGGAGAUCUGUAAGGGAAUACCGAUGGCGAAAGGCAGCCCACCUGGGUUCAACACUGACGCUCAUGUACGAAAGCGUGGGGAGCAAAACAGGAUUAGAUACCCUGGUAGUCCCACGCCCGUAAAACGAUGUCUACUAGAAAGCUCGAGUCUUUCGGAGUUGUUUUUUCAAAGCUAACGCAUUAAGUAGACCGCCCUGGGGAGUACGGCCGCAAGGUUAAAACUCAAAUGAAUUGACGGGGGCCCGCACAAGCGGUGGAGCAUGUGGUUUAAUUCGAUGCAACGCGAAGAACCUUACCUACACUUGACAUACAGAGAACUUACCAGAGAUGGUUUGGUGCCUUCGGGAACUCUGAUACAGGUGCUGCAUGGCUGUCGUCAGCUCGUGUUGUGAGAUGUUGGGUUAAGUCCCGCAACGAGCGCAACCCCUAUCCUUAGUUGCCAGCGAUUCGGUCGGGAACUCUAAGGAGACUGCCGGUGAUAAACCGGAGGAAGGUGGGGACGACGUCAAGUCAUCAUGGCCCUUACGUGUAGGGCUACACACGUGCUACAAUGGCGCAUACAGAGUGCUGCGAACCUGCGAGGGUAAGCGAAUCACUUAAAGUGCGUCGUAGUCCGGAUUGGAGUCUGCAACUCGACUCCAUGAAG
RNAcentral lists this ribosomal RNA (789 nucleotides) under Pseudoalteromonas shioyasakiensis. Its description in RNAcentral is "bacterial SSU rRNA". It matches the Rfam family "Bacterial small subunit ribosomal RNA", at positions 552 to 1325 of the family's 1533-position model. Lineage: Bacteria; Pseudomonadati; Pseudomonadota; Gammaproteobacteria; Alteromonadales; Pseudoalteromonadaceae. The record is from RNAcentral.